CGACAAAGGGCCGCUUCGAUGGCGCAUUGGCUGUAGUAGAUGGGUAUGUGUUACCAAAGUCUCCACUUGAAGCAUUUGCUGAAGGGGAAGGAGUCGACGUCCCAGUAUUAAUAGGCACAACAGCACAAGAGGUCGACAUUGAGCAUCCAUCUGCAAACUGGACGUGGGGUGAUAACAAUUACCGAGAGCACGUCAGAGACAAGCUAAAUCCUUUCGGCACUGUGAUUGCAGAGACCGCCCUUCAGUUAUACCCUGCGAACAAGUCAACGCCAGAAUUCCAGAUAACUUCUAUGAUAUCAGA
Molecule: long non-coding RNA, 301 nt
Organism: Mya arenaria
Lineage: Eukaryota; Metazoa; Mollusca; Bivalvia; Myida; Myidae
Exons: 3
Source: RefSeq, a predicted model, not a curated record